Molecule: ribosomal RNA, 442 nt
Filed under: uncultured bacterium
Lineage: Bacteria
Description: partial 16S ribosomal RNA
Rfam family: Bacterial small subunit ribosomal RNA
Source: RNAcentral
CUACGGGAUGCAGCAGUGGGGAAUUUUGCGCAAUGGGCGAAAGCCUGACGCAGCAACGCCGCGUGAGGGAUGAAGGCCUUCGGGUUGUAAACCUCUUUCGGGUGGGAAGAAAAAAAUGACGGUACCACCAGAAGAAGCCCCGGCUAACUCCGUGCCAGCAGCCGCGGUAAUACGGAGGGGGCAAGCGUUGUUCGGAAUUAUUGGGCGUAAAGCGUAUGUAGGCGGUCUGGCAAGUCAGACGUGUAAGCCCACGGCUCAACCGUGGAAUUGCGUUUGAAACUAUCAGGCUUGAAUUCGGAAGAGGAAAGCGGAAUUCCCAGUGUAGCGGUGAAAUGCAUUGAUAUUGGGAAGAACAUCGGUGGCGAAGGCGGCUUUCUGGUCCGAUACUGACGCUGAGAUACGAAAGCCAGGGGAGCAAACGGGAUUAGAUACCCGCGUAGUC